UGGGGAAUAUUGGACAAUGGGCGAAAGCCUGAUCCAGCCAUGCCGCGUGUGUGAAGAAGGCCUUUUGGUUGUAAAGCACUUUAAGUGGGGAGGAAAAGCUUAUGGUUAAUACCCAUAAGCCCUGACGUUACCCACAGAAUAAGCACCGGCUAACUCUGUGCCAGCAGCCGCGGUAAUACAGAGGGUGCAAGCGUUAAUCGGAAUUACUGGGCGUAAAGCGCGCGUAGGUGGUUAUUUAAGUCAGAUGUGAAAGCCCCGGGCUUAACCUGGGAACUGCAUCUGAUACUGGAUAACUAGAGUAGGUGAGAGGGGAGUAGAAUUCCAGGUGUAGCGGUGAAAUGCGUAGAGAUCUGGAGGAAUACCGAUGGCGAAGGCAGCUCCCUGGCAUCACACUGACACUGAGGUGCGAAAGCGUGGGUAGCAAACAGGAUUAGAUACCCUGGUAGUCCACGCCGUAAACGAUGUCUACCAGUCGUUGGGUCUUUUAAAGACUUAGUGACGCAGUUAACGCAAUAAGUAGACCGCCUGGGGAGUACGGCCGCAAGGUUA
This 549-nucleotide ribosomal RNA is filed under the name uncultured bacterium. RNAcentral describes it as "bacterial SSU rRNA". It matches the Rfam family "Bacterial small subunit ribosomal RNA", at positions 355 to 896 of the family's 1533-position model. The record is from RNAcentral.